This 490-nucleotide long non-coding RNA is filed under the name Equus asinus (donkey). RNAcentral describes it as "lncRNA (ENSEASG00005027155.1)". The record is from RNAcentral. Lineage: Eukaryota; Metazoa; Chordata; Mammalia; Perissodactyla; Equidae.
AUCACUUCCUCCUGAGUUGGCCCUGCCUUGGGACACUCACUCUUGAACCCCAGCCACCAUGUUGGGAGGAAGCCCAAAGGGGUCGACAGUGGGAGCCCAUGAGGAGAGGCGCAGGUGGAGAGGAGCUGAUGCCCCAGCCUAGAGCCAGCAUCCACCCCAGACACAGGUGAAGACGUCCCACUCACUCCCCUCCCACACCCCCGGCGAUGGACAGCUCACCGGAGCAGAGGCCAACAGCCUCUCGUUUUGUUAGUCUUGAAGUUGGGUGGAUGUAAGCCUGAAGUUCCAGGAGGCCACCAAGGUUGGGCUGGGAGUAAAGCCAGGGAGGAGAACAGAGCUGAUGAAAGGAGAGAGAGACACCAAGUUCUGAUGACAUCCACAUGCUCUGGCUUUUUGGAUACUUGAGUUACACUUCUUCUCUGUCGCUUAGGCCAGUUUGAAUUAGAUUUCUGUUGCUUGCAACCACAGCAGUCCUAAAUAAUAUACCAUU